CACAGGGACAGCGCCCCGGGGGAUGGAAGGAACUUUGCCUCCCUGUCCCUCUCUGUAGGGAUGGAAAGAGGAGAGCGAUUUCUGGGAUGGAAGCCAUCUGCCUUCUCUCAACUCUCGCUGCCCAACCAGAAAGGGAAGAAAAACAGGAAGAUGAGGGACAGGUGGUGGGAAAACUGAGGCUGCUCAAAACUCGUGGAGAAUUCCGCCUGCAGGAUGACAUGAAUGCACCUUCGCAUUGCCUACCAACAGAUCUUUUUUGAGCAUCUCUGUGGACCAGGCGUGGUGAUGGGGGAGGGGAUAUUGUGGUGAACA
Molecule: long non-coding RNA, 312 nt
Filed under: Homo sapiens (human)
Lineage: Eukaryota; Metazoa; Chordata; Mammalia; Primates; Hominidae
Description: HSALNT0059882
Source: RNAcentral